Mycena vitilis is the source of this 95-nucleotide non-coding RNA. The record is from the annotation of a GenBank genome assembly. NCBI's taxonomy places the organism in Eukaryota, Fungi, Basidiomycota, Agaricomycetes, Agaricales, Mycenaceae.
GCAUCGGUGGCGAAUGGAACACACACAUCAGCGUUGUGGGCGGCCUUCAUUUGCAAUUGAAAUGGUGAGACGGGGUUCGAUUCCCCGCCGGUGCA